AUAUCAAUAAGCGGAGGAAAAGAAACCAACAGGGAUUGCCCUAGUAACGGCGAGUGAAGCGGCAACAGCUCAAAUUUGAAAUCUGGCCCCCGGGUCCGAGUUGUAAUUUGUAGAGGAUGCUUUUGGUGCGGUACCUUCCGAGUUCCCUGGAACGGGACGCCAUAGAGGGUGAGAGCCCCGUCUGGUUGGACGCCAAUCCUUUGUAAAGCUCCUUCAACGAGUCGAGUAGUUUGGGAAUGCUGCUCUAAAUGGGAGGUAUAUGUCUUCUAAAGCUAAAUAUUGGCCAGAGACCGAUAGCGCACAAGUAGAGUGAUCGAAAGAUGAAAAGCACUUUGAAAAGAGAGUUAAAAAGUACGUGAAAUUGUUGAAAGGGAAGCGCUCAUGACCAGACUUGGGCUCGGUUGAUCAUCCAGGGUUCUCCCUGGUGCACUCUCCCGGCCCAGGCCAGCAUCAGUUCGCCGCGGGGGACAAAGGCGUCGGGAAUGUGGCUCCCUCGGGAGUGUUAUAGCCCGUCGUGCAAUACCCUGUGGUGGACUGAGGUUCGCGCAUUCGCAAGGAUGCUGGCGUAAUGGUCAUCAGCGACCCGUCUUGAAACACGGACCAAGGAGUCGUCUUCGUAUGCGAGUGUUCGGGUGUCAAACCCCUACGCGUAAUGAAAGUGAACGCAGGUGAGAGCUUCGGCGCAUCAUCGACCGAUCCUGAUGUUCUCGGAUGGAUUUGAGUAAGAGCAUACGGGGCCGGACCCGAAAGAAGGUGAACUAUGCCUGUAUAGGGUGAAGCCAGAGGAAACUCUGGUGGAGGCUCGCAGCGGUUCUGACGUGCAAAUCGAUCGUCAAAUAUGGGCAUGGGGGCGAAAGACUAAUCGAACCUUCUAGUAGCUGGUUUCCGCC
This 890-nucleotide ribosomal RNA is filed under the name Neonectria neomacrospora. Its description in RNAcentral is "eukaryotic LSU rRNA". It matches the Rfam family "Eukaryotic large subunit ribosomal RNA", at positions 40 to 962 of the family's 3401-position model. Lineage: Eukaryota; Fungi; Ascomycota; Sordariomycetes; Hypocreales; Nectriaceae. The record is from RNAcentral.